ACGAGUUCCUGUUUCAAACAGGAAGUUUCAUACAGGAAGUCCCUUCAGAAACAAGAUGCUGCUGCCCACCUGAGGGGACAAACACAGCAUUCUGGUAAGACUGCUACAAUGAGAUUUCUGGACUCACAGGACCCCAGGAUGUGAGUCUGCAUCAGAGGGAGGCCUGCAGCCUUCAACUCCAUCAGCCUGCUCUCCUCACUCUUAGCUUCCUUCUUCCUGUCUCUUUCUUCCACUGUUUCUCCCUGCCCCUCUUUCUCCUCCUCUCUCCCUUUUCUUCACUUCCUCCACUGACAUGGGACCUGAGUUCCACAGUCACAGAUGAGGAAAGAAGGCACUGAGCAGUUGAGUUCUGCCUGGGCGUGACACUGAACCAGGAUUUGGGCAAGGGUGCUGUCUCCAGAGCCUGAACAUCCUUAUACUUUGUACUCAG
Molecule: long non-coding RNA, 430 nt
Organism: Artibeus jamaicensis (Jamaican fruit-eating bat)
Lineage: Eukaryota; Metazoa; Chordata; Mammalia; Chiroptera; Phyllostomidae
Exons: 3
Source: RefSeq, a predicted model, not a curated record